UACAGACUAGAACAUUUCAACGGACAGAACAUUGUUCGCGAACAUGUUUGCAACCAAUGUGGACGGGAAAACGAACAUUUCCCCGUAACAAAAAAUGUUCGGUUGUUUGUUCGGUUGCGAUCCGAUAUUUGUCGGUUUUUGCCCGUCACAUCAAAGGAUGUUCGCCGUGGCUCGGAUAACAGUCUGGACGUCGCUGCGAACACUUCCUGCGAACAUUCAGUUGUCGACGUGGAGCGGUGUUGUCUUCACGGAGUUAGUAGCGGUGCGUGACUCUUUUGUUAUAUGAGAAUGGAGUGGUCCAAGGAAGAUCAAAUAAAACUGAUAGAUUUGUAUAAACAACAAACAGUGAUAUGGGACCCAAACAAUGUUAAUCAUUUCAACAAAAUUAGAAAACAAGACGCGUGGGAAGAAAUCGGGGCCGAAAUGGACAGAGAUGUGGACGAAUGUAAGAAGAAAAUGGAGAGUUUGCUAUCAGCAUUAAGAAGGGAGAGGAAGAAAAUGAAAGACACUGCUGGAACUGGAAAAGGAACUGACGAAAUGUACAGAAGUUCCUGGUUCGCUUUCGAAAGUCUACGUUUCUUGCUGGACAAAAAUAAACCAAGAAAGACAAUUUCGACGAUGCGAGUAGAAAGCGAAGAGAGAGACGUAGAAUGUGGUGCAGUUGGAGAAUCAGCACAGGAAACUGUACCGAAAAAGAAGAAGCAGCGAGUCGAAGAUGCACGUCUGGACAAAGCCUUUCAUAUAUUGUCGUCCACCGCGAGUCAGCUUAACGAUGAGUGCCAACAUUUUGGAAAUUUGGUCGCAUCUAAGUUGAGACAGUACAACGUUGAUACUAGAUGUACAAUUGAAAAUGACAUUAUGGGUAUUUUCCUUCGCGCUAACAGGGGUUUCUACAAUAACACUCAGAAUUUUAUACAACCACACUAUCCAUGUCAUUUUCCAUCGGACAACUCUGUCAUGCAGUCAAACACUGUAUUGUCCAACCCUACAACCCCGUGUCCUUCAGCAGGAUCACCUACCUUGACGUCUGAUGAUGAUGAUUUCAUUAUUCACGAUCUCUUAUAAAAUAUUUUUGUUUUAAUUACAGUGCUCCUAAUGAUUUGUAACACAGUGUAAACAACUUUGUCAUUUCUUAUAAAUAAAUGUAGAAAAUUACGUUAAUAAAUCUUUCAAUUACACAGUACCGCAGAAUAAGUCAAUACUUACCUUAAUGUAAUCCUCAAGUCCUUCGAUGAGAGCAGAACACACUUCAGGAAUAACUGUGCUGAUAGUCUGUUUUGAAAUUUUAAAUACAUACUGAAGGCUGGUAUACGAAUCACCAGUUGCUAAAAAACGUAAUGUCAAUGCCAGUCUUUCUGUAAUUGGAAUUGCUUUUCUGAACGACGUAUCUCUCUUACCAAUUUUCGCUCCUAUCAAAUUGAUCAACCACUCAAAAUCUGAUGGGUGCAUUCUUGUAAAGUUCUUGUAAAGACCACUGACUGACUGAAAACUUAAGUCUGCCAACAAGUUCGAGCCACUAUAUGUUGUCCUACUUUCAUACAGUUUUGUAAUCCACCAACGGCGAGAUUUCCUUCGCUUUUUAACCGCAUAGUGAAUGUAAAUAUAUACAGCUGCUGCUACUUGCGCCUGUGUACUCAUCGUGCCACUGCUAAGUACGGAAUGGGUCACAGGGAACACACCUCGAACAAUGUUCGCAAACAAUGUUCUUUCGAAAUCUGAACACUGUUCGUAAAAUGUGUCGAACACUGUUCGCUGUUCUGUUCGCUAAAAUGUUCUAGUCUGUAC
Bacillus rossius redtenbacheri is the source of this 1785-nucleotide long non-coding RNA. RefSeq lists it as uncharacterized. The transcript is spliced from 3 exons. NCBI's taxonomy places the organism in Eukaryota, Metazoa, Arthropoda, Insecta, Phasmatodea, Bacillidae. The record is from RefSeq and is a predicted model, not a curated record.